AGUUUAGCUAAUGUUGCCCGUACCGUAAACCGACACAGGUGGGUGGGAUGAGUAUUCUAAGGCGCGUGGAAGAACUCUCUUUAAGGAACUCUGCAAAAUAGCACCGUAUCUUCGGUAUAAGGUGUGGUUCGCUUCGUAUUAGGAUUUACUCCGAAAGCGAAGAAACUUACAACAAAGAGUCCCUCCCGACUGUUUACCAAAAACACAGCACUCUGCUAACUCGUAAGAGGAUGUAUAGGGUGUGACGCCUGCCCGGUGCUCGAAGGUUAAUUGAUGGGGUUAGCAUUAGCGAAGCUCUUGAUCGAAGCCCGAGUAAACGGCGGCCGUAACUAUAACGGUCCUAAGGUAGCGAAAUUCCUUGUCGGUUAAAUACCGACCUGCAUGAAUGGCGUAACGAGAUGGGAGCUGUCUCAAAGAGGGAUCCAGUGAAAUUGUAGUGGAGGUGAAAAUUCCUCCUACCCGCGGCAAGACGGAAAGACCCCGUGGACCUUUACUACAGCUUGACACUGCUACUUGGAUAAGAAUGUGCAGGAUAGGUGGGAGGCUUUGAGUAUAUGACGCCAGUUGUAUAUGAGCCAUUGUUGAGAUACCACUCUUUCUUAUUUGGGUAGCUAACCAGCUUGAGUUAUCCUCAAGUGGGACAAUGUCUGGUGGGUAGUUUGACUGGGGCGGUCGCCUCCCAAAUAAUAACGGAGGCUUACAAAGGUUGGCUCAGAACGGUUGGAAAUCGUUCGUAGAGUAUAAAGGUAUAAGCCAGCUUAACUGCAAGACAUACAAGUCAAGCAGAGACGAAAGUCGGUCUUAGUGAUCCGGUGGUUCUGUGUGGAAGGGCCAUCGCUCAAAGGAUAAAAGGUACCCCGGGGAUAACAGGCUGAUCUCCCCCAAGAGCUCACAUCGACGGGGAGGUUUGGCACCUCGAUGUCGGCUCAUCGCAUCCUGGGGCUGGAGCAGGUCCCAAGGGUAUGGCUGUUCGCCAUUUAAAGCGGUACGCGAGCUGGGUUCAGAACGUCGUGAGACAGUUCGGUCCCUAUCUGCCGUGGGCGUAAGAAGAUUGAAGAGAUUUGACCCUAGUACGAGAGGACCGGGUUGAACAAACCACUGGUGUAGCUGUUGUUCUGCCAAGAGCAUCGCAGCGUAGCUAAGUUUGGAAAGGAUAAACGCUGAAAGCAUCUAAGCGUGAAGCCAACUCUAAGAUGAAUCUUCUCUAAGCUCUCUAGAAGACUACUAGUUUGAUAGGCUGGGUGUGUAAUGGAUGAAAGUCCUUUAGCUGACCAGUACUAAUAGAGCGUUUGGCUUAUCUUU
RNAcentral lists this ribosomal RNA (1302 nucleotides) under Campylobacter coli. RNAcentral describes it as "partial 23S ribosomal RNA". It matches the Rfam family "Bacterial large subunit ribosomal RNA", at positions 1625 to 2925 of the family's 2925-position model. The record is from RNAcentral. Lineage: Bacteria; Pseudomonadati; Campylobacterota; Epsilonproteobacteria; Campylobacterales; Campylobacteraceae.